GACAUGACUCUCGGCAAUGGAUAWUYUCGGCUCUCGCAUCGAUGAAGAGCGCAGCGAAAUGCGAUACGUGGUGCGAAUUGCAGAAUCCCGCGAAC
This 95-nucleotide ribosomal RNA is filed under the name Polystachya caloglossa. Its description in RNAcentral is "5.8S ribosomal RNA". It matches the Rfam family "5.8S ribosomal RNA", at positions 1 to 89 of the family's 154-position model. Rfam says of the family: 5.8S ribosomal RNA (5.8S rRNA) is a component of the large subunit of the eukaryotic ribosome. Lineage: Eukaryota; Viridiplantae; Streptophyta; Magnoliopsida; Asparagales; Orchidaceae. The record is from RNAcentral.